GGCCCGCGCCUCCAUGGGCCCGACCCGGAAGCCUAACGUGUGCAGCCGGCUAAGUCGCCGGGCGCUGGGCUGCUUCUCGCGCGACGCAGGCGUGGUACAGAGGACCAACCUGGGCAUCCUACGGGCGCUGGUGUGCCAGGGUCACAGGUGAUUGGGAGGAGGAUACAAGCCCGGAAUCUGGUGGAUUAGUCAAUAGGUGGUUAUGGGGCCUCCAGAUGCUUUUAGUUUUAUGCUGCUUCUGUCUUCCCUGUAAACAAUUAUUCUAAAUGUUGGUCACCUCAUUAAACCAAAACAUGAGGGCAGAGUGAAGGAAGGAUUCAAAAUCAGUUUUUGAAUAACGAAAGUACUAAAUUUAAGAAUGUCUGGACAACUCAUUCCAGGUCACCUAUAGCCUAUGAGAGAGGAAGAAUAUAUUUUGACAAUUAUCGGCGCUGUGUCAGCAGUGUUGCAUUGGAGCCAAGAAAACUUUAUGAAAUGCCAAAAUGUUCCAAAUCAGAAAAAAUAGAAGAUGCUUUGUUAUGGGAAUGCCCAGUGGGAGAUAAACUUCCCAAUUCAGCUGAUUGUAAGUCCUCACUCAUAGCACUAACUGCUCAUAAUUGGCUACUUCGUAUAUCAGCAACUACAGGAAAAAUCCUUGAGAAAAUAUAUCUUGGACCUUAUUGCAAAUUCAGAUACUUGAGCUGGGACACUCCUCAAGAAGUCAUUGCAGUCAAGUCAGCACAGAACAGAGGCUCAGUAGUGGCCCGGCAGGCAGGCGUUCAACAACCCAUUUUGCUCUACCUUGCAGUGUUCCAAGUUCUACCUUUUUCACUUGUAGGGAUUCUAGAGAUCAACAAAAAGAUUUUUGGGAACGUUUCAGAUGCUACCUUGUCUCAUGGAAUACUGAUUGUGAUGUACAACUCAGGACUGGUCAGACUCUAUAGCUUCCAAACCAUCGCUGAACAGUUCAUGCAACAGAAACUUGACUUAGGGUGUGCAUGCAGAUGGGGUGGGACUACUGGAACUGUAGGAGAGUCUCCUUUUGGCAUUCCUUGUAAUAUUAAAAUCACAGACACACCACCACUGCUCUUUGAGGUGUCAUCCCUGGAGAAUGCUUUUCAGAUUGGAGGCCAUCCUUGGCACUACAUCAUUACACCUAAUAAGAAGAAACAGAAAGGAGUUUUCCAUAUUUGUGCCCUAAAAGACAAUUCCCUGGCAAAAAAUGGGAUCCAAGAAAUGGAUUGUUGCUCUCUAGAAUCUGACUGGAUCUAUUUCCAUCCUGAUGCUUCUGGUAGAAUAAUACAUGUUGGCCCAAAUCAAGUCAAAGUUUUGAAGCUAACUGAAAUAGAAAAUAAUAGUUCUAAGCAUCAGAUCUCUGAAGAUUUUGUCAUUUUGGCCAACAGGGAGAACAAUAAAAAUGAAAAUGUACUCACUGUUACAGCUUCUGGACGGGUGGUAAAAAAAAGUUUUAACCUUCUGGAUGAUGACCCAGAACAAGAGACUUUCAAAAUUGUGGACUAUGAAGAUGAGUUAGAUUUGCUUUCUGUGGUAGCUGUUACUCAAAUAGAUACUGAAGGAAAAGCUCACCUGGAUUUCCACUGUAAUGAAUAUGGAACUUUACUUAAAAGCAUUCCAUUGGUGGAGUCAUGGGAUGUGACAUAUAGCCAUGAAGUCUACUUUGACAGAGACUUGGUGCUCCACAUAGAGCAGAAACCCAACAGAGUCUUCAGCUGCUAUGUUUACCAGAUGAUUGCCCAAGGCAGAAUUCACCUUGACAUCAGUGGACAGGAAGCAAGGAGGACUCAGAGCAACAUGAUGUACUGUUGACAGCAGAUCUUGCCUGCACAGAGUCCACACAGAACAGUCUUGGUAGCAGUGACUGGAACAGGAGAAUAGUGAGGCGAAGAAGAUCUGAAUUAAUGCAAGCUGUCUGAUAAAAGGGGAAACAAAUGGCAGUUUGAUUCUAAGUGUAUUCACUAAUAGAAGGCUGGGGACUGCCCCAUGAGGGGUGAGCAUAAGCACCGUAAGAGAUAUUGCUGGGAGCCCACUUUGAAAGAGGAUUAGGACAGAAGCAAGCCCCAGCCACUGGCCUCACUUAGAGCUGGAGGAACAAGAUUUCAUCCACUCCUAAGAGGAAGUAUGAGAGAAACACAAAAAUACUGUCAACACAUCAGUACAGAUUCACUGAGAGUGGCUAUCUAUUCUAUAAUAAUACUUUUUUUUUUUAGACUGAGUCACAGUCUGUAGACCAGGCUGGAGUGCAGUGGCAUGAUUUCAGUUCACUGCAACCUCUGCCUCCUGGGUCCCGGUUCAAGAAAUUCUCCUGCCUCCUGAGUAGCUGGGAUUACAAGCACAUGCCACCAUACCCAGCUAAUUUCACCAUGUUGGCCAGGCUGGUCUUGAACUCCUGACCUCAUGAUCCUGACCUCAUGAACUCCUUGAACACCUUGAACUGCUGACCUCAUGAUCCAUCCACUUCAGCCUCCCGGGAUUAUAGGCAUGAGCCACCGCACCCAGCCUCUUUAAUACUAAAGUUUAUUUCCCCAACCUUCAGGUGGAUACGGUUUUCAUAUGCUCCUCUGGUAAGUGGAGGAUCAUACACAUUCUACGAUCCUGUGAAAUUAAUACCCGUUAUUUUAUAAAUGUUAACACUGAUAGGUGACAGCAAAAUAGUCACUAUAAGCUUGUAUGAAUUUCUGAGCAAUUGUUAACCUUUUCUGCCUUUGAACCUAUCAGAAUUUCAUCAAUGUGCUGUGAUAAAUAUUUGUCAUACAUUUUGAACUUAAUGCAAGUGUCUUAAGAAGGUGUUUGAGUCAUCACAGAGUAAUAACUACAUCACAGAGUAAUAAAUACUGUAGUAGCAACUACAUUAUAAAGUAAUAACUGCUAUAUUUAGGUACAAUGACCUGUGUGGUUAUUUCAUGACUUUAAUCACUGAACUCAGUAGGUCCUCUAUUUGCAAAAAAAAAAACACCAGCCAAUUGUGCUUUUAUGAUGUAGGAAUAAAACAAAAUGCAUUUUAAUAAUUAUUGAUACCUGCUAGAAGACAUGAAUAUUAGAUAGGGAGAUGUAGUUAGAAAGUAGAAUUUCCACAUCAAAGAAUACUAGGUGUUUGAUAGGUUUUGAUGCUAUGGUAAAGGGAAUCUCUUUUAAAUUUCAUUUUUUAAUCAUGCUUAACUAGGAAUGCAAAUAAUUCAAUUUUAUUACUUCCUCUAUCCUUAAUUCCAUUUUGUCCUUGGACUGGUUGGGACCUCCAGUAUAAUUAGUACUCUAAUUGUUUAGAGUAAACAAUUUCAACUAUUAAGUACAAUGUUUUCUGUAGUAUUAAAAAGUAGAUUCCCUUUAACAAAUUUAAGCAGUUUCCUUCUAUCCUAGUUUGCUGAGGUUUUUUUACAACUAUAUAUAGAAUUUUAUGUUUUUACAUCUAUUAAGAUAAUCAUAAUUUUUCUCCCUUUUCUGUCAAUGUAGUGAAUUAAACUGAUGGAUUUUUAUAUGUUAAACCAAUCAUAUAUGCAUGAAAUAAACCCAGCUUGGUUGUGAUGUAUCAUUUUAUAUUUUUUUAGAUUUAGUUUGCUAUUAUUUUGUUUAAUGAAGACUUUAACUUAUAUAAGCAGUUUAUAUUAAUUUGCAGUAGUCCAGUGUUUUUGCUGCAACAAUUAGAAAAUCAAAUGGAUAAAUUGCAAAAUUAUAUUUUUAAAGAUAACAGAGAGUUGUAGAACAAGGAGGAAUAGAUGAACUAAAAUUCUAGAAGGGUAAGAACCCUCUCUAAGUGAACUAACAAUUGUCUUUGUUUUCUUCACCUGUAGGCCUGACCCCCAGGCACAAAGACAACACUAGUUAAAGAAAGAGAAACCAGUGGAGCUUUUGACAGUCACACAAAGCUGUUGUGACCUAUAAGAAACUGGAAGAGUCCAAAUGCAAGGCUAGUUUCCCAUGUGAGACAUUUGUUAAGUCAGAGGAAAAUAUAGAAAACAUGGAUAAUUUCAACAUGGAAUUGAAAUAUAUUUUUAAAAGUAUAAUGAACAUUCUAGAACCAAAACACAUAAUCUGAAAUUAAGAACUCACUGGAUGGCUUUAACAGCAGACUGGAAACAGCAGGACUGGAUUAGUGAAUCAAAGACAGGCUAUUGGAAAAAAAUAAACUACAAGGAGGAAAAAGAUUGUAAAGAAACAGAAAAUUAUAUGCUUAUUGGCCACUCAGAUCUUUUUUGGUAAAGUAUCUGUUCAAAUCUCUGGGCCAUUUUUUUUUUAAAUAUGUUGUUUGUUCUUAUUGAGUUGUACAUAUUCCUUUUGUACCCUGGAUACUAGAACUUUCUGAAAUAUAUAGAAAAUUUUUCUCAAAUCUUCAAAUUUUUUAAAAAUUGAGGUUAGGCUGGGUGCAGUGGUUCAUACCUAUAAUCCAAACACUUUAGGAGGCAACGCGAGAGAAUCAGUUGAGCCCAGGAGUUCAAGACUAGUCUGGGCGACAUAGUGAGACUCUGUCUCUACAAAAGUUUUAAAAAAUUAGCCAAGCAUAGUGGUGCAUGCCUGUAGUACCACCUACUCUGGCGGCUGAGGCAAGAGGAUUGUUUGAGUCUAAGAAUUUGAGGCUGCAGUGAGAUAGUAUCACACCACUGCACUCCAGUCUGAGCAACAGAGCAAGAUCCUACCUCAAUCAGUCAAUCAAUCAAUAAAAAUUCAAAUUGAGGUAAGAUAUACAUAACAUAAAAUUAACCAUUAAAAGUGAACAAUUCUGUGGCAUUUAGUAUAUUCAUGAUAUUUUACAACCAACAUCUCUAAUUGCAAAACAUUUUUAUUACUCCAAAAGGAAACUUUAUAGUCAUUAAACAGUUACUCUCCAGUCUCCCUUCCCCACAGCCCUUGGCAACCACUAAUCUGUAUUCUAUCUCUAUGAAUUUGCUUAGUCUAGAUAUUUCAUAUAAAUGAAUUCAUAUAUGUGACUUUUUGUGUUUGGCUUCUUUCACUUAGUAUAACAUUUUCAAAGUUCAUUCAUGUUGUAACGUGUCAGUAUGUCAUUCCUUUUCGAAGCUGAUUAACAUUCUGUUGGGUGUGUAUGCCACAAUAUGUUUAUCCAUCCAUUAAUGAACAUCUGAGUUGUCUCCACCUUUAAAGUAUUGUGAAUAGUGCUUCUGUGAACAUGCAUGUACAUGUAUGUCUUUGAGUACCUGUUUUCAAUUACUUGGGGUAUAUUCCUAGAUGUGGAAUUGAUGGGUCAUAUUCUAUAUUUAACUUUUUGAGAAACUGUCUCACCAUUUUCCACAGCAUCCAUACCAUUUUACAUUUCCAUAAGCAAUGUCUGAGGAUCCUUUUUCUUCAAAUCCUUACUGAAGCUUAUUAUUUUCCCUUUAAAGAAACAUAGCUAUUCUAGUUGGUAUGAAGUGAUAUCUCAUUGUGGUUUUGAUUUGCAUUUACCAAAAGAUGUUGAUCAUCUUUUCAUAUGCUUGUUGGCCAUUUGUGUAUCUUUGGGAAAUAUCUUUUCAAGUCCUUUGCCCAUUUUUAUAUUGGAUUGUUUAUAUUUUCAUUGUUGAGUAGUGAGAGUUCUUUUUCUAGAUGUUAGAACUUAAUCACAUGUAUGAUUUGCAAAUAUUUUAUCCCUUCUUCCAUUCUGUAGGUUUUCUUUUUACUUUUCUUGAUAAUGUUCUUUGAUGCACAGAAGUUUUUAAUUUAGAUAAAGUCUAAUUUAUUUUAAUUUUUUCAAACAGGAUCUCACUUUGUCACCCAGGCUGGUGUGCAGUAGUGCCAUAUCAGCUCACCUCAACCUCCCACCUGAGCAGUCCUCCCACCUGCCUUUCACAUAGCUGAGACUACAGGCAGGGGCCACCACACCUGGCUAAUUUUUUAUCUUUUUCGGUAGAGUCAGAGUUUCGCCAUGUUGCCCAGGCUAGUCUCGAACUCCUGGGCUCAAUCGAUCUGCCCACCUCAGCUUCCCAAAGUUCUAGGAUUGUGUGAGCUGCUGUGCCCAGCCUUUGAUUUAUUUUUGUUGUUGUUGCUCUUGGUUUGGUGUCAUAUCUAAGACUCCAUUGCCAAAUCCGAGGUAAUAAAGAUUUCUUCCUAUGUUUUCUUCCAAAAAUUUUAUUGGUUCUUCCAAGAAUAGAAGGUUUUAGUUCUUCUAUUUAGGUUCUUGUCUUAGUCUGUUGGAGCUGCUGUAACAGAAUACUGGGUGGCUUAUACACAACAGACAUUUUUUUUUUUGUAGUUCUGGAGGUUAGGAAGUUCAAGAUCAAGGUGCCAACAGAUUUGCCGUCUGGUAAGGACUUUUUGAUUCAUAGAGGCUACUUUCUUGUGUUUUCACAUGCUGGAAGAGGCAAGAGAGCUCUCUGGAGACUCUUUUAUAAUUGCAAUUACUUUUGCACUAGCCUGAUAGAAGGGCAUUAAUCUCAUUCAUGAGGGCUCUGUCUUCAUGGCCUAAUCACCUACCAAAAGCCCUGCCUCCUAACACUAUCAUAUUGGAAGUUAGUUUUCAAUGUAUGAAUUUUAAGAUGACACAAGCAUUCAGUCAGUAACAGUUGUUAUAGGGGAGGGACAGUGAUGGGUGGGGAGUUGGGGAGAGAUAGCAUGGGGAGAAAUGCCAGAUAUAGGUGAUGGGGAGGAAGGCAGCAAAUCACACUGCCAGGUGUGUACCUAUGCAACAAUCUUGCAUGUUCUUCACAUGUACCCCAAAACCUAAAAUGCAAUAAAAAUAAAUAAAUAAAUAAAAUAAAAUGAAAUGGUGGAUGCCUAAUCUCCAAGGCCUUUCCUACUCUAAAUUUCUAUGAGGUUUUCCUACAGUAAUUAACAAAAUCUGAAUAAAGAGUUUUAUUUUGUGAAGGUUAAUCAUAUAUUAACUGGAGAUUAAGUUUUAAUUACAGGUAACUAUACACACACACACACACACACACACACACACACAAACAAGUCUACUUGCCCUGCACUCCUGAUAAGAAACUCAAUUAUAUCUUAAGAUAUUUGUGACUUUAAAGGACUUGAACAUCAUAGUGCAAAUGGUCAGUGUGUAGCAUAGAAAUAAAAGGCUCGUUUUAUUACAUUUUAAAAAUGUUCUAAAAGUUGUAUCCUACUGUAAAUACAAUGACAAUAGUCUUUUUAAAAGCUUAUAGUUAUACCAUUAUAUAGUUUAUAAAAUACUUUGAUACAUACAAUCUCAUUUGAUCUAAAAAUAGCUGUGUAGUAGGCAAAAGCAGUUGUCAGUUAUCUUUAUUUAAUAGAUUAGACUAUUUCAUGAUAUUUAGAGGUUGGUCUUCUGACUACUUGUUGAACAUUUUUAACUUAUUAUAUCCUUCAUGAAAAGUUUUUAUGACACAAAGACUUGACUAUAAGUUUCAACUAAAGAGAAAUCACUAUAUAAAAUUGAGAUGAGUUAUACAAAUACCAUUAUUUUGCAAAUCACAUAUUCAUGUAUGUAAGUGCAUACAAUUUAGCAUGCUUGAAUAUGUUAGCACAGAAGCCAUUUCCCUUGUCUAAAUAUUGUCUUUUUUCUCCCUUAGUGAUAGCAUUAGAAGUAACAACAACAAACACAACUUAGAACAGUUCUGUAUGUUGUCUAAUCCAAAUGCGAGAUAGCAAAGAAUAAUAAGCUUUAUGUUAUUUCCAUAGACAUUAUGUAAAUAUGAUCCAUAUUAAAUAAAGUCACCCCAUUUUCCAUGGCAUCAGAAUGAUGAAAUUAUACAAUAAACAAAUGGAUUUAUGGUGAUCUAAAAAAAAAAAAAACAGCUGAUCUAUUUUGAGUUAAUUUUAUAUAUGGUGUGAGGUAGAGGUUCGGUUUCAUUCUUAUGCAUGUGGAUAUUCAGUUGUCACAGCACUGUUCUUUGAAAAGACUAUUCUUUCCCCUCUAGAAUGGUCUUACCAACCUUGUUAAAAAUCAAUUUGCCAUAAAUGGAUGAGUUUAGUUCUGGACUCUCAAUUCUAUUUCAUUGGUUUAUGUGUCUAUCCUUAUGCCAGUACCACACUAUUUUAAUUACUGUAGCUUUGUAAUAAGUUUUGAAAAUCAGAGAGUGUAAGUCUUCCAACCUUUUUCUUCUUUUAUAUUAUUGGAUCAGCUUUUCCAUUUCUGCAAAAAAAGUUAUUGGCAUUUCGAUAGGGAUUGCAUCAUAUCUGUAGAUUACUUAGGUAGCAUUGCCAUCUUAACAACAUUGUUUUCCAAUCCAUGAACAGAGAUUAUCAAUUUCUUUCAACAAUGUCUUAUACUUUUCAGUGCACAAACUUUAUCUCUGUGGAGGCCAGAUCAACUUCAUCUUGAAUGCUAAUCCACCACAGGGCUUUUGAUUAAUCCCAGUUCUGGAAAGGCCUCUAGGAUUUCUAGCUUACCUAUUGUUCCUUGUUUAAGAGCAGGUACUAACCAUAAAUCCUGCCCUUAAGUCAAACGACCUUGAUGUUACUGUACUUCAGCUGUCCUAUACAUCCCUUCUGAAUCACUCUUUCCCUAUGGUAGAUAAGUCCUGGGUCUGAGGGGUAAUGGUGCAGGGAUCCACUAUCUUGUCUCACUACCACCCAAGACACAGACAUGACUUCUGUUAAGUUCUUAUUAAAUGUUUCUUUCCAAUAAAUUGGAUUUGUCAGUCUCUUUCUUCAUCCUCUCAGCUUCCUCAGACUUUGGGGCAGAUAUGCAUAGAACUGCCCACUGCAGAACAACCUCCUUGAAUAAAUAUAUUCCUAGGUAUUUUAUUCUUUUGCACAUUCUUGUAAAUGGAAUUGUUUUCUUAAUUUUCUUUUGAAAUUGCUCAUUGCUGAUGUAUAGAGACACUACUAGUCAGGCGUGGCAAUCCGAGCACUUUGGGAGGUCAAGGUGGGUGGAUGAUCUGAGGUCAGGAGUUUGAGACCAGCCUGACCAAAAUGGUGAAACCCUGUCUCUACUAAAAAUACAAAAAAUUAGCUGGGCGUGGUGGUAGGGGGGCGCCUGUAAUCUCAUCUAGUUGGGAGGCUGAGGCAGGAGAAUCCCUUGAAUCCGGGAGGUGGCUGUUGCAGUGAGUCGAGGUCACCCCAUUGCACUCCAGCCUAGGCGACAGAGCAAGACUCCAUCUCAAAAACAAAAGAAGAAAAAAAAUACUACUUACUUUUGUGUGUUGAUUUUGUACUCUGCAAAUUUGCUGAAUUUAUUAGCUCUAGUGGUUUUGUUGUUGUGGUGGUGGCAUUUGUGUGUGCGUGUGUGCAUUCUUUGGGAUAUUCUAUAUAGAGGUUAUGUCAUCUGUGAAUAAAGAUAGUUGUAUUUCUUCUUUUCUAAUUUGGAUGCCUUUUCUUUUUCUUGCCUAAUUACUCUCACUGGAAUUUCCAAUACAAUGUUGAACUGCAGCAAUGAAAGCAAGCAUCCCAAUCUUUUUUUUUCAUCUCAAAGGGAAAGCUUUCAGUCUUUCCCCAGUGUGUGUGAUGUUAACUGAGGGGUUUGUGUAUGUUGGGAAGUGUCAUAAAUGCCCUUUGUCAUGUUGAAGAAGUUCUCUUUUAUUCCUAGUUCUCUGAGUGUUCCUUGUCAUGAACAAGUGUUGGAUUUUGUCAAAUGCUUUUUCUUCAUGAAUUGAAAUGAUCAGCUGCUUUUUUUUUUUUUGCUUCAUUCUAUUAAUGUGGUAUACAGCAUUGAUUGAUUUUCUUAUGUUAAACUGCCCUCAGGUAUACAUUUUGGAAAUAGUCUUUCACAGUCCGUGGUUUGCUAUGUUUUUAUUAAUUAAUUUUUCAUUUUAUUAUUUUUAAGACAAGGUCUCACCCUAUUGCCCAGGCUGGAGUGCAGUGGUGUGAUACUGGCUUACUGCAACCUCUACCUCCUAGGCUCAAGUGAUAUUCCUGCUUCUGCCUCCCAAGUAGCUGGGACUACUGGCAUGUCUAGCUAAUUUUUAUAUUUUUUGUGAAGACAAGGUUUCACCAUGUUGGCCAGGCUGGGCUCAAACUCCUGACCUCAAGCAAUCCACCUGCCUCAGCCUCCCAAACUGCUGGAAUUACAGGCAUGAGCCACCACAUCUAGCACUAUGUUUCUUUUUAAUGAUGUCAUUGGUGAGCUAAAGUUACUAAUUUUGAUGAAGUUUAUCAUCUUCUUCUUAUAUGGUUAUUGCUUUCUGUAUCUUAUCUAAGGACCUUUUACCUAUCACCAAGUAUGAAGAUACUCAAUUUCCUCUAAAAGUUUUAUGGUUUUAGCUUUUAUAUUUAAGUUAAUAAUCUAUCACAAAUUAAGUUUUGUAUGGUAUGAAGGAAUUAAAAAGUUCAAGAGGCUAAAAUAAGCUCUUUUGCUUAGAGAUGCAUACACAGAUAGUAAAUUUAUAAAGUAGACUAGGAUAACUAGUAUAAUAGAAAUCAGACCAGGCACGGUGGCUCACGCCUGUAAUCCUAGCACUUUGGGAGGCUGAGGUGGGUGGAUCACCUGAGGUCAGGAGUUCAAGUCCAGCCUGGCCAUCAUGGUGAAACCCCAUCUUGUAAAAAAGAAAAGAAAAGUCAGGAUACUGAUUAUCUCUUGGAGGAGAGAUCAAAUUGAUAUCAGAAAGGCAUAUGCAUGUAGCUUGUAGGGUGCAGUGAUAAUCUAGUUUUUUACCUGGGGAAUGAAUUAUGUGAUUAUUUGCUUUAUUACAGGUCAUGGCCUCAGAAUAGUAAAGAAUUUAUGAAAAAAGAUGCAAACUAUAAUAACCAUAAAAUAAAAGACCAAUCAAUUCAACCACAUUAAAAUUAAGAACAUCUAUUCCUCAAAAGACUCCAUUGUUAUUAGACUUUAUUACACAUUCUCUUCUAGGAGCAUUAUUUUACUUUUCUUAGCUAGGUCUUUCAUAUUCCUGGAGAUGAUUUUUGUGUUUAAAAAAAAUUUUUUUAAACAUUUUAUUUAUAGCUUUUCUAUAUUUUGUUUAUUGUUUAUGCAGAUUCUCACUAAUGGUGGCUUGCUUUGCCUUUUCAUGAACUUGAUCAUCUUUGAUUGCAAGCUUGAUCUGAAUCUCUGGGUCCUCUAGCUCCAUGGAAAGCUCUCUUCCAUAGAAGAUUUGUUCCUGCUUCUGCUUGUAACCAAAGAAACUAGGUUGGUGCAAAAGAAUUGCAGUUUUUGCAAUUACUUUUAAUGACAAAACCGUAACUUUUAAAUUUUUUUAUUUUUUGAAAUGGAGUCUUGCUCUUGCCCAGGCUGGAGUACAAUGGCACAAUCUUAGCUCACUGCAACCUCCACCUCCCAAUUUCAAGCGAUUCUCCUGCCCCAGACUCCCAAGUGGCUGGGAUUACAGGUGUGUGCCACCACGCCUGUUUUUGUGUUUUUAGUAGAGACACGUUUUCACCAUGUUGGCCAGGCUGGUCUUGAACUCCUGACCUCAGGUAACCCACCUGCCUCGGCCUCCCAAAGUGCUGGGAUUAAGGUGUGAACCACCAUGUGCAGCCAAAACUGCAAUCUCUUUUGCACCAACCUAAUAACACUUCAGUGUCUUAGCUCAAUUCAUCCUUCCCAACCGUGUGUUGGCCUAAACCUUAGUAUCUUAAUAGCAGUGCUACUACUAUCAGCAUUUUGCUCAGGACAACUCUGGUUUUGUUUUCUUUCUUGGAGGGGAAGUUUCUGUGGAAACCUUCCCUACCGCUUAAGAGACCAGCAAUGUCUCAGAGAAAUGAGUUUGUCCAAGGUCUAACUAAGUACUCCAUAGCACAAAUGUGUCUCAGCAAACCUAGUCAGCCAUAAUAGGAUAUUUGAAAGUCCCUAAUAAUAUAUUUUGCAUAGUCCUCCAGAUUAUUAUAUAUAUAGCUUCUUCAUUUUAUAAGGCUACAUUGUCAUCUGUUGUAUAGAAUCUAUUUAACCAGUUUCCCAACUAUUGAUCUGUAGAUUCUAUCCAAUUGUUUGCUAUCAUGAGCAAUGUUGCAGCGUCAUUUUACACCUGUGUGAAAUUCCUAGAAAUAGAAUUUUCUAAUUUCUAUUUCUAUUAUAAUUUUCUAUUAUAAAUUCCUAGAAAUAAAAUUACUGGGUCAUAUUUCCCCCAUAGAGGUUGUACCACUUUAUUAUUUUAUAUGGUUUAUACAUACUGAAAUUUACAUGAAAUAGUUGCUUUAUGUAAUUUAAAAGAAAUAUACCCCAUUACUUUUUGACAAAGAAUUAAUGCAAUAUUACAAGUUGGAUAUUUCAUUUAACUUAUUAAGAAGGAGAUUUUACAAGAUUUGGAGGAAAAAGUAAAUCUUUCCAAGUACACAUGAAAUUUCUUUCUUAAUUAUACUUUUAAGUUCUGGUGUACAUGUGCAGAACUUGCAGGAUUGUUGCAUAGGUACACACAUGCCAUGGUGGUUGCUGCCUCCGUCACCCCCAUCACCUACAUCAGACAUUUCUUCCAAUUUUAUCCCUCCACAACCUCCCCACCGCAUGCUAUCCCUCCCCAGCCCCCUACUCUCCAACAGACCCCAGUGUUUGAUGUUCCCCUCCCUGUGUCUAGCACACAUGGACUAUUAAGCAAAAUUGAUCAAAUGUUGGACCAUGAAGCAAGUUCACUGCUUCAUGAGCUUCAAGUGUCUCAAAUGCUAUUCUUUACAUGUGGAAGAAUAUCUUGUUUUUCUUUCCCUAUCAAGAACCAAUCUUUACAAAGAUUUAUUGCUGUCAAACUUUUAAUCUAGUCAAUACAUUUGUGAAUCAUUUAUUUGAAAGUAGGUUAAAUAAGCAUGCAAGUCUGAAGUGCCAUAACAGAUUAGACGUCAUGGAAUUGAAGGUAUGUAGCUCAAAGGGAUAACAGAUUCUAUUAUCUUACUUCCUUUGCACAGAGAAGUUAAUAGCACCUUUGCAGGAUAUUAUUAUGAUAGAAAAUUAGCCCUGCCUCUUAAGCAUUCAUAAACAAAUAAAUCUAACUGAUAAGAAUAUAAACAAUCAUUAACUUAGUACAUUAGUAAUAGAACUGAAGUCCAUUUCUUGCUCUAAGGUUAUAGAUAUAAGGUUUUGGAAGCAAAUAAAGAAAAGGGAUUUUCAUGUCUUCCAAGUUUUCCAAUUUAGAACACCAGGGUAUGUAACACAGAAUAUCUUCAAAGUAAAGCAGGUUAAUGCUCACAUUACUUGAAGACAUUACUUGAUGUCUUUAUAUGUAUUUUACUAGCAGAAUAUAUCCUUAUACUUUCUUUGCUUGAGCCACUAAUUAAGUUACAUUUGAUUAAAUAGUAGAGAAAGCCUUUAUGAUGUUACAGGAGGGAAGCCAGGUGGUUACUCCUACCUUUGUAGUACUUUAGACCUAAGUAAUCAUCUUGACACACCUCAAAUGUAAAUGUAUUACCUACAAGACAGGAAGGUGGGCUUGGAAAAAUUUCUUGAAGCUGGGUUUAUCAUAGCUUGGAACAUGGCCGGACCUGGACUUGGUUUGGUCAAUGGCUAUGAUCUGGGUUGUGCUGCUUUCUAUAGUUUCUGAUUUCAGAAUUAACCGGCCUACCAGCUUGAAGAAGACCUUGAAGGGACAGACCCAGCUGAUCAUGACCAUGAAUGGAUGUCCAGCCCAGCAGUCAGAACAUGGUAUCCAAAGCUCUCACCGUCAACAACAGAAAGACCAAGUCAGUAGCAGGAAAAUGCAACCUAGGGUAUCAUAAAAUGGAUCCAGGCUCCCACAUGUGGUUGUCCAGAUCAUGCACUGCACAACUCUAGAUGAUACUAUGUACGUAGAUGGUAUGUCCUGACAAAUGAACCAAACAUAGAUUGGGAAUGCAGGAAUGGUAAAUAAAUGGUUGUCCAAAUAUGAAAUAUAUAUAGUUGGAAGAGAGAAAGCCUACCAAUAGUCAAAGAUUCAGAGGUACAACUCCAGCCUAAGAAGGUGGACCCAAAAGGAAAUAUUUCUGUCUUGAACAGAAUCUUAAAGCUUUUGUCAGCUUGGGGUGUCAUCAAGGAGUGAUUCAUUAGGUGUCACUCUGAAUUUCACCUCCUCUGGAUUCUUGCUAUUGCCUUGGGCACUGUGGCUCAGUGGUGCACUACUCUGCCAUUAAAGUUUUGGCACAAGUGGACAAAAAUACCUUUGGAUUUUUCUUGAUAGAAUAGAAAUAAACCAGAAUUUUUCUUUAGAAAAAUAUUUUAUUAAAUACAAAAAAAGAACAAAAAAUAAAUAUUUAAGUUAAUAUAAAAAUGAACUAUCUCUACUUAGCUUUUGCAUGUCUAGGAGUUUAUCCAAAGGAAAUAAUUACAAAUGUUAAUUAAGGUUUGAUCAGAGAAGCAGAACCACUGCAAGUGAUCUACAGGGAUCUGUACAGAGUACAGACCUUAUAUAGUAAGUCAGUAUAGGAGCUGGUUGUGCAGUCUUUGUAAGUCUAUGAUCCUUCGUGUGGUGCUGAGCCUGAAGUCAGCAGGGCCUGUAAUUAGGAAGGGAAGAUGCAUGUGAAGUGGGAGUGAGUAAGGACAAACUGGGAUUCACAGGAUGAGCUGUGAAUAAAGUAAAACUGAAAUUUGCAUCUGCCUCUCAUUGCUGCCAAACAUCGAACUUCAGUGAUGUGGAAGACUUCGAGAUGAUUGAAUGCAUUCCACCAUGGAGCUGCACAUGUACUUUGGCCAAAAUCUGAGAAGUUGAAAGAGGAGAUCCGGUGGGAGCUGGAUCUGUUGGGCCCAGAUACUAUCUUCAUGGAGAUAGAGCUGAAAUUGCUACUGGCCUGGUUGCUGGCUCCUCUAACAAGCUUUAUCUGCUAACAGAAAUUGUAAUCCUGGCGGAACGAUCCAAGAUGGCCGAUCGCUAACAUCUCGGGAUUGCAGCUCUCAGGGAAGGCGCAGAGAACUAGAGGACGCCACACUUUCAGACAAAUUCUGGUCGCUCACGGAGCAGAAGAUCCCCCAGUGGAGGAAUCACACGGGUCGCCAGCGCGACUUUCGUGACCGGCACAGCGGUUCCACCAGCACCUCGGCUCCGCAGCUCUCGGAGCAGAGUAAACAGGUUCGGAGGACCCACACGGGCCCCCAGCACAACACCAGAGCCCAGCCCAGCGGCUGUGACAGCAUGCUCGGCGCAGAGUAAACAGGACCGGUUCCCCUUCUGACCAAGGUUUGGAGCCCCAGGAAGGCAGAGUCGCCUACUACAGACACAAGAAGGAAGCCCGACAGGAGAAUCCUGGGCAGAAAAGCACCAUCAGUUUUAACGCCGCUGCUCUGGCCCUGGGAACUAACAACCUGGACAUCCACUCAAGAGACCUAAUCUGAAAGUUGGUAAUUUCAAAGACGACAGGAGGAUAAAUUUACAAUGACGGGAAGAAACCAGCGUAAAAAAGCUGAGAAUACUCAAAGUCAGAACACCUCUCCCUCUAAAGAUGAUCACAGUUCCACAUCAACAAUGGAACAAGGCUUGAUGGAGAACGAGUGCAUCCUGAUGACAGAAUCACUCUUCAAGGAAUGGAUAAUAACAAACUUCGGUGAGUUAAAAGAACAUGUUGUAGCCCAACGUAAAGAAACUAGGAACUUUGAAAAAAGGUUUGAUGAAAUCCUAUUGAGAAUAGACAACUUAGAGAGGAGUAUGAGUGAAUUAAUGGAACUGAAAAAUACAAUACAGGAACUCCGAGAAGUAUGCACAGGUUUAAACACUCGAAUUGUUCAAGCAGAAGAAGGGAUAUCAGAAGUCAAAGUCCAACUUAAUGAAAUAAAACGUGAAGAAAAGAUUAGAGAAAAAAGGAUAAAAAGGAAGGAGCAAAGUCUCCAAGAAAUGUGGGACUAUGUGAAAAGACCAAAUUUACGUUUGAUAGGUGUACCUGAAUGCAACGGAGAGAAUGAAUCCAAGCUGGAAAAUACCCUUCAGGAUAUUAUUCAGGAAAAUUUUCCUAAACUAGCAAAGCAGGUCAACAUUCAACCCCGGGUAAUACAGAGAACACCACAGAGAUAUUCCUCAAGAAGAGCAACCCCAAGGCACAUAAUCAUUAGAUUCACCAGGGUUGAAACGAAGGAGAAAAUACUAAGGGCAGCCAGAGAGAAAGGUCAGGUUACCCACAAAGGCAAACCUAUCAGACUUACAGCAGAUCUCUCAGCAGAAACUCUACAAGCCAGAAGAGAGUGGGGGCCAAUAUUCAACAUCCUCAAAGAACAGAACCUUCAGCCCAGAAUUUCAUAUCCAGCCAAACUAAGCUUCACAACUGAAGGAAAAAUAAAAUCUUUUAUGAACAAGCAAGAACUCAGAGAUUUUAUUACCACCAGGCCUGCUUUACAAGAGCUUCUGAAAGAAGCAUUACACACAGAAAGAAACAACCAGUAUUAGCCUUUCUAAAAAUACACCAAAAAGUAAAGAGCACCAACAUAAAGAAGAAUUUACACCAACGAAUAGAUAAAACAGCCGGUCAGCAUCAAAUGGCAGUAAUCCUAAAUUUAAAUUGACUAAAUCCCCCAAUCAAAAGACACAGCCAAAACCCAAUGGCAUGUUACAUCCAGACUUGUUUCACAUGCAAGGAUACACAAAGACUCAAAACAAAGGAAUGGAGAAAGAUUUACCAACCAAAUGGAGAGCUAAAAUAAAUAAAUAAUAAAUAAAAAGCAGGAGUUGCAAUUCUCGUAUCGGAUAAAAUAGAUUUUAAAGCAACAAAGAUAUAGUGGUAAAAGGAUCAAUGCAACAAGAAGAGCUAACGAUCCUAACACCCAAUACGAAACUUAGAUUCAAUGAGACAGAAAAUUAAUAAGGAUAUCAAGGACUCGAACUCAGAUCCAGAACAAGUAAACUUAAUAAAUAUUUAUAGAGCUCCCCACUUCAAAUACACAAAAUAUACAUUCUUGUCAAUACCACAUCACACCUACCCAUAAGUUUAAAUGAAACAUUGAUUGGCCAUUAUUAACACCCAAUUUUUUUCAAAAUAAAGCAAUAUUUCCAUUUACUCUCCCUCUUUCUCGUCCUCUUUCUUCCUCUCCUUUACUUAUUUUUUUUUCUUUCCUUCUCUCGAAAAAAAAAAGAAAUCAACUUGUAAACCUCUAGAUCCAGGUCAGCAAUAUCUCUCUCAUUGCUUGAUUUCCUUCAUUCCCUUCCCUCCCUCCCUCCGUCCCCGCUUCCUCCCUUCCUUCCUUCCUUCUUCCCUUCAUUCCUUCCUCCCCCUGCCCCAAAAAAAAGAAAUUGUAAUCCUAAGAUCCACUAAAGUGUAAGAUAAGUUUGUAGGUAAAAUUUAUCUAGCCAAACAGUGGACCUAUUAAGAGGGCCUUUCCGGUCUACAUUCAGAGUUCUUUUUGGAUAUGCAUGAUUCCUUCAAACUUCAAUAAGGCCUUCAGAUCUAUAAGCCAAAAUUCUGAGAUACUCUGCCUGUGAAUGCCCUUUAAAAAAAUGCAUGUGAUAGAGAUUAUAAUUAGAACAUUUAUUCCUGUUAUUACAAAGUCAAACAAGAAAGCAUCCAAUAAAAGUUCUCCAAAGAUAAAACAAUGUUUAUGGCUACUUUAUAAUAACAGUAUUAACCAAGGCUGGGCACAGUGGCUCAAGCCGGUAAUCCCAGCACUUUGGGAGGCUGAGGCAGGUAGAUCACCUGAGGUCGGGAGUUCAAGACCAGCCUGACCAAUAUGGUGAAACCCCAUUUCUACUAAAAAUACAAAAAAAUUAGCCAGAUGUGGUGGCACAUGCCUGUAAUCCCAGCUACUCAGGAGGCUGAGACAGGAGAAUCACUUGAACGCGGGAGGCAGAGGUUGCAGUGAGCCGAGAUCGCCCCAUUGCACUCCAGCCUGGGCUAUAAGAGCAAAACACCUUCUCAAAUAAAUAAAUAAAAUAAUAGUAGAACCCAGUUCUUUACAUUCUAUAAUGUGCCAUCCAAAUAAUCCAAUGUCUUAUAACAUUUGAUUGUAAGAAAAAUGUGCCAGGGCAUUUCUUUCCUUGCUAAUUCUCUGUCUUAGGCUCUGUAAACUUCUCAUCAAUCUGUCACUCAAUGCAUGAAUGUGUUUUUAAAGGCCUCUUUUCUGUUGACAACUGUUCUAUGCUAUAAUAAAGAUAUUGUCUGUAUUCUUAGAUCUCUGGCAUGUGGAGCCUUGUGGACCUGGGGAACUACCCCUCCCAGAGUUUACUAAUUCCUAGAGAUGACUGUUUGCCUGCCAGCACAUCUUUGAUAUCCAAACCAACUAACAGGGUUCCAAGCCCCAACCUACCUCCUUUCAUGCGAUCACUGCAGGGUCUGCCGAAAUUAUUCAAACUGUCCAACCAUAAGGUUGUUCCGCUUGCUUACUUUGCUUUCCCCUUUCCUCCUUUCAAAAACCACAAUAAAGGCUUCUGCUCUUUCUGCCUACCCAUCUGACUUCCGUGUUUCCCUGUGUGGCCCUGACUGCAUGCCUUGCCUCCUGUUUCUAGGGGACUGUGAACAUAAAAAAACCUCCUUCCUUCACUGCAAUCAUUUUGUGUUUGCGUGUUGUACUAUACCUACUCAAAACAAAUCCCAGGGGCCAGGCGCGGUGGCUCAAACCUGCAAUCCCAGCACUUUGGGAGGCUGAGGCGGGUGGAUCACGAGAUCAAGAGAUCGAGACCAUCCUGGUCAACAUGGUGAAACCCCGUCUCUACUAAAAAUACAAAAAAAUUAGCUGGGCAUGGUGACGCGUGCCUGUAAUCCCAGCUACUCAGGAGGCUGAGGCAGGAGAAUUGCCUGAACCCAGGAGGCGGAGGAUGCGGUGAGCCGAGAUCACGCCAUUGCACUCCAGCCUGGGUAACAAGAGCGAAACUCCGUCUAAAAAAAAAAAAAAAAAAAAAAAAAUCCCAGGUACAUUUUUAGACGAUAGGGUGGAAGAACAGUGGCAAGUAAAACAGACCAAAUCUGUCUUUGAAGAGCUGAAGAUCCUUGAAGGAGCUUAUAUUUUAGCCUAGGGUUUAUAAAUUUGCAUGAGUGUGGGCUCUAAAAUAAAUAGAACCUAGGUGUGACCAAGCACCAUUAUUUUCUUCCCCAACUGGGUAUUUUCUGCUAACCUAUGGGGUAAAGGUGGUAGAUGAGAAUUGGGGAAUCAAGGAUUUAACCCUAAUUCUCUUCUGCCUGGAUAAAGAUCGGACUCUGUCUAGAGCGGACUCUACCUACUAAUGCCUGGACUGGGGAGAAAGGACCAGGGUGGGGUCCUUUUAAUUUUAUCUGGCCACAUGAUUAGGAAGAUGCGAGAUGAUUAGGAAGAGGCUUGGUGACUCACCUGUAAUCCCAGCACUUUGGGAGACUGAAGCAGGAGGAUCCAUAGAGUCCAGGAGUUCAAGACUAGCCCAGGCAAUAUAGGGAAACUGUCUCUAUUAAAAAAAUAUAUAUGAAAAAUCAGCUGAGUAUGGUGGCACUCACCUGUACUCCCAGUUACUUGGGAGGCUGAGGUGGGAGGAUUGCUUGAGCCUGGGAGGUUGAGGCUGCAGUGAGCUAUGAUCAUGCCACUGCACUCAGCCUGGUGACAGAGGGAAAAACUGUCUCAAAAAAAAAAAAAAAAAAGGGGAGGGAGAUGAUUAGGAAGACCUACCAAUGUCUGUCCUGAGUGCUUCCUGCCUUGCCAGUUUUCCUUAAACCAAACUUGCACUGGAUGGUGAUGAAAGUGUGAAAGAAAAACACUAAGCUAAAGGGAAAAGUCAAGCUGGAAACUGCCCAGGGCAAAACUUUCUCCCUAUUCUAUCCAGCCAUCCCUCUGCUCACUGAAAUAAAUGCAUAUCUGAUCAACUCCUUUGAAAAGGCUAAUCAGGGAUCCAAGAUGGCCGAUCACUAACAGCUCGGGAUUGUAGCUCCCAGUGAAAGCUCAGAGAACUAGACGAUGCCACACUUAGACAAAUUUUCGUCACUCACGGAUCAGCCGAUUCCCAGUGGAGGAGCCCCCACGGGUCGCCAGCACGACUCUUGUGGCCGCCUCAGCGGUUUUGCCGGCGCCUCGGCGCAGCAGCUCUUCAUGCAGAGCAAACGGGACUGCUUCCCCUACUGACCGGAGUUUGGAGCUCCAGGAAGUCAGAGCCGCUUGUUGCGGACUCAAGAGGGAAGCCAGACCAGAGAUUCCCGGGCAGAAGAGCACCAUCAGUCUUAUCGCUGCUAUUUAGGCCGCCACAGUGGGUUGCUCGGAUCCCAGCACUGGGAAUCAAUACAUUGGAUGUCGACUCAGAAACCUAAUUAGAAAGGCGGGUCAUCUACAAUGAAGGGAAAAAAACAGCCUAAGAAGGCCGGGUAUACCCAAAAUCAGAACCCAUCAGCAACGGAACAAGCCCUGAUGGAAAAGGACUCAUCAGCAAUGGAACAAGCCCUGAUGGAAAAGGACUCAUCAGCAGCAUAACAAGUCCUGAUGGAAAAAGACUGUGUUCCAUUAUCUGAAAUAGGCUUUAAAAGGUGGAUGAUGAGAAACUUCUGGGAGUUAAAGGAACUUGUUCUAACCCAAUGUAAAGGAACUAAGAACUUUGAAAAAAGGUUCGAUGAAAUGGUGAAAAGAAUAGACAAUAUAGAGAGGAAUACAAAUGAACUUAUGGAGUUGAAAAAUACAACACGAGAACUUAGUGAAAUAUGUACAAGCUUAAAUAGCCGAAUGGAUCAAGUAGAAGAAAGGAUAUCAGAGGUCGAAGACCAACUCAAUGAAAUAAAACGACAAGACAAGAAUAGAGAAAAAAGGAUAAAAAAGAAUGAGCAAAGUCUCCAAGAAAUAUGGGACUAUGUGAAAAGACCUAAUAUACGUUUGAUUGGUGUACCUGAAUGUGAUGGAGAGAAUGAAUUCAAGCUGGAAAAUAUUCUUCAGGAUAUUAUUCAGGAAAAUUUUCCUAAUUUAGCAAAGCAGGACACUAUUCAACCCCAGGCAAUACAGAGAACACCACAAAGAUAUUCCUCAAGAAGACCAACCCAAAGGCACAUAAUCAUUAGAUUCACCAGGAUCGAAACGAAGGAGAAAAUAUUAAGGGCAGCCAGAGGGAAAGAUCAGGUUACCCAUAAAGAAAAGCCUAUUAGGCUUACAGCAGAUCUCUCAGUGGAAACCCUACAAGCUAGAAGAGAGUGGGGGCCAAUAUUCAAUAUACUUAAAGAACAGAACUUUCAGCCCAGAAUUUCAUAUCCUGCCAAUUUAAGCUUUACAAUUGAAGGAAAAAUAAAAUCUUUUAGGAACAAGCAAGUACUCAGAGAUUUUAUUACCACCAGGCCUGCUUUACAAGAACUUCUAAAAGAAGCAUUAUACAUAGAAAGGAACAACCAGUAUGAGCCUUUCUAAAAAUACACCAAAAAGUAAAGAGCAUUAACAUAAAGAAGAAUUUACAUCAAUGAAAGGAUAAAAUAGCCAGUUAAUAUCAAAUGGCAGUAACCCUAAAUUUAAAUCGACGAAAUCCCCCAAUCAAAAGAUACAGACAAAAUCUAACGGUAUAUCUAAAGAUAUACAAAGACUCAAAAUAAAGGGUUGGAAAAAAACUUACCAAUUAAACGGAGAGCAAAAAUAAAUAAAUAAAAAGUAGGAGUUGCAAUUCUCACAAUUAAUAAAAUAGAUUUCAAAGCUACAAGGAUACAAGGGUAAAAGGAGUAAUGUAAUAAUAAGAGAUUUUAACACCCAGAUACAUAAGACCCAUAAUGAGAUUUAGAUUCAACGAGACAGAAAAUUGAUAACGAUAUCCAGGACUUGAACUCAGAUCCAGAACAAAUAAACUCAAUAGAGCUCUCCAUUUUAAACACACAAAAUAUACAUUAUCCACUUUAAACACACAAAAUAUUGA
Non-coding RNA from Callithrix jacchus (white-tufted-ear marmoset), 21467 nucleotides. The record is from RefSeq and is a predicted model, not a curated record. Lineage: Eukaryota; Metazoa; Chordata; Mammalia; Primates; Cebidae.